AUUGAACGCUGGCGGAAUGCUUUACACAUGCAAGUCGAGCGGCAGCGCGGGGGCAACCCUGGCGGCGAGCGGCGAACGGGUGAGUAACAUAUCGGAACGUACCCCGUCGUGGGGGAUAACACAGCGAAAGCUGUGCUAAUACCGCAUACGACCUGAGGGUGAAAGCGGGGGACCGUAAGGCCUCGCGCGAUGGGAGCGGCCGAUAUCGGAUUAGCUUGUUGGUGAGGUAAAGGCUCACCAAGGCGACGAUCCGUAGCUGGUCUGAGAGGACGACCAGCCACACUGGAACUGAGACACGGUCCAGACUCCUACGGGAGGCAGCAGUGGGGAAUUUUGGACAAUGGGGGGCAACCCUGAUCCAGCCAUUCCGCGUGAGUGAAGAAGGCCUUCGGGUUGUAAAGCUCUUUCAGCAGGAACGAAACGGUAGGCCCCUAAUACGGGCUGCUAAUGACGGUACCUGAAGAAGAAG
RNAcentral lists this ribosomal RNA (469 nucleotides) under uncultured bacterium. RNAcentral's name for it is "bacterial SSU rRNA". It matches the Rfam family "Bacterial small subunit ribosomal RNA", at positions 29 to 490 of the family's 1533-position model. The record is from RNAcentral.